Molecule: small RNA, 1049 nt
Filed under: uncultured Pelagibacterales bacterium
Lineage: Bacteria; Pseudomonadati; Pseudomonadota; Alphaproteobacteria; Candidatus Pelagibacterales
Description: bacterial SSU rRNA
Rfam family: Bacterial small subunit ribosomal RNA (bases 1-659)
Source: RNAcentral
CACCGCCUGGGGAGUACGACCGCAAGGUUAAAACUCAAAUGAAUUGACGGGGACCCGCACAAGUAGUGGAGCAUGUGGUUUAAUUCGAAGAUACGCGCAGAACCUUACCAACACUUGACAUGUUUGUCGCGACUUUAAGAGAUUAAAGUUUUCGGUUCGGCCGGACGAAACACAGGUGCUGCAUGGCUGUCGUCAGCUCGUGUCGUGAGAUGUUGGGUUAAGUCCCGCAACGAGCGCAACCCUCACUUUUAGUUGCCAUCAUUUAGUUGGGCACUCUGAAAGAACUGCCAGUGAUAAGCUGGAGGAAGGUGGGGAUGACGUCAAGUCCUCAUGGCCCUUACGUGUUGGGCUACACACGUGCUACAAUGGUAUUCACAAAAGGAAGCAAAACGGCGACGUUUAGCAAAUCCUAAAAAAAUACCUCAGUUCGGAUUGCACUCUGCAACUCGAGUGCAUGAAGCUGGAAUUACUAGUAAUCGUGGAUCAGCGUGCCACGGUGAAUGCGUUCCCGGGUCUUGUACACACCGCCCGUCACACCAUGGGAGUUGGUUUCUACCUUAAGGCAAGGUUUAAAACCCUUGACCACGGUAUAGUCAGCGACUGGGGUGAAGUCGUAACAAGGUAGCCGUAGGGGAACCUGCGGCUGGAUUACCUCCUUUCUAAGGAUGAAUGAAAUUUUAUUUCAUUCUAAAUAAUAAACAGGCUAAUGUUGACCGUCCUCGUUUCUCUUCUUAAAUUAAGUGUUUCUCUUGCAUGGGGGCCGGUAGCUCAGUUGGUUAGAGCACACCCUUGAUAAGGGUGGGGUCGAAAGUUCGAGUCUUUCUCGGCCCACCAAUUUAAGAUCUAAGGGGGGAUUAGCUCAGCUGGGAGAGCGCCUGAUUUGCAUUCAGGAGGUCAGCGGUUCGAUCCCGCUAUCCUCCACCAGAAAGCACUUAGAUAUAAAAAAUUGUAAAUACUAAUAAUUAAUAUCAAUAUCUAUAUCCGAACAUUAGUAAUGUUAUUAGCUAAUGUUCUUAUAAAAAUUUGAUUCAACACAGAAUUUUUUUCUG